UACAGAGGUCUCAAGCGUUGUUCGGAUUCAUUGGGCGUAAAGGGUGCGUAGGCGGCGCGGUAAGUCGGGUGUGAAAUUUCGAGGCUUAACUUCGAAACUGCAUUCGAUACCGCCGUGCUUGAGGACUGGAGAGGAGACUGGAAUUUACGGUGUAGCAGUGAAAUGCGUAGAUAUCGUAAGGAAGACCAGUGGCGAAGGCGGGUCUCUGGACAGUUCCUGACGCUGAGGCACGAAGGCCAGGGGAGCAAACGGG
This 253-nucleotide ribosomal RNA is filed under the name uncultured bacterium. Its description in RNAcentral is "partial 16S ribosomal RNA". It matches the Rfam family "Bacterial small subunit ribosomal RNA", at positions 524 to 776 of the family's 1533-position model. The record is from RNAcentral.